RNAcentral lists this small RNA (85 nucleotides) under Microcebus murinus (gray mouse lemur). RNAcentral's name for it is "Y RNA (ENSMICG00000041646.1)". Lineage: Eukaryota; Metazoa; Chordata; Mammalia; Primates; Cheirogaleidae. The record is from RNAcentral.
UCCGAGUGCAAGGUGUUUCCAAAUUAUUGAUCACAACCAGUCACAGAUUCCUUUGUUCCUUCUCUACUCUCACUGCUUCAGUUGA